Vidua chalybeata is the source of this 549-nucleotide long non-coding RNA. RefSeq lists it as uncharacterized. The record is from RefSeq and is a predicted model, not a curated record. The transcript is spliced from 2 exons. NCBI's taxonomy places the organism in Eukaryota, Metazoa, Chordata, Aves, Passeriformes, Viduidae.
AAGAGGUCCUAGAAACACAAACCCAACAAAAGUCACUGCACUAUAGCUUGAUUUUGCAACAGAGUUUUGUUGCACAAAAUCCCUGGGUGAACAAAGUCGAAGAAGAAGCUCUCCAAAAGCCUUGGGUUGGGAAGUGCCUUUCUGGCGGUGAAUAUGGCCCACUCGCAGCUGAGGUCAAUGGACAAUCAGGGGAACUGCUCCUCCCAGCACUCUGACCCAGUUCAUUAUUCUGGGUCUCACUGCGCUGUCCCUCCGGCGCUGAGGCCACCUGAGCAUUGUUCAAUGCUCGGGCCUGCCCAGCCCGGAUGCUGCCCCCCUCCUGGUCAGAGCUGCUUCUUGUGGGCCUCAAAAGCCAGACACCGAGGUGGGAUGAGGCUGCCUCAGGAAAUCAACUUCAACUGGUACAGGAACUGACUGCAAGAUAGCACGAAGCACUGAGUGAGCACUUGGAAGGAGAAUUUAGCAGUCUCUGAUUUCAUUUUUCACCGAAAUCCACUACUAGCAUUUUCCAAUAUUGGGCAUACAAAGCAAAUAGAUUUUUAGCCUUUC